Molecule: ribosomal RNA, 473 nt
Filed under: uncultured organism
Description: partial 16S ribosomal RNA
Rfam family: Bacterial small subunit ribosomal RNA
Source: RNAcentral
UACACUCCUGCGGGAGGCAGCAGUAGGGAAUCUUCCACAAUGGGUGCAAACCUGAUGGAGCAAUGCCGCGUGAGUGAAGAAGGUCUUCGGAUCGUAAAGCUCUGUUGUUAGAGAAGAACACGUGCUAGGUAACUACUAGCGCCUUGACGGUAUCUAACCAGAAAGUCACGGCUAACUACGUGCCAGCAGCCGCGGUAAUACGUAGGUGACAAGCGUUGUCCGGAUUUAUUGGGCGUAAAGGGAGCGCAGGCGGUCUGUUUAGUCUAAUGUGAAAGCCCACGGCUUAACCGUGGAACGGCAUUGGAAACUGACAGACUUGAAUGUAGAAGAGGAAAAUGGAAUUCCAAGUGUAGCGGUGGAAUGCGUAGAUAUUUGGAGGAACACCAGUGGCGAAGGCGAUUUUCUGGUCUAACAUUGACGCUGAGGCUCGAAAGCGUGGGGAGCGAACAGGAUUAGAAACCCUGGUAGUCCCA